This 72-nucleotide transfer RNA is filed under the name Camelus bactrianus (Bactrian camel). It matches the Rfam family "tRNA". From Rfam's summary of the family: Transfer RNA (tRNA) molecules are approximately 80 nucleotides in length. RNAcentral also lists the same sequence under 2 other names. The record is from Rfam by way of RNAcentral. Lineage: Eukaryota; Metazoa; Chordata; Mammalia; Artiodactyla; Camelidae.
GAGGGUAUAGCUCAGUGGUAGAGCACGUGCUAAGCACGCGCCAGGUCCUGGGUUCAACCCCCAGCACCUCCA